GGGGAAUUUUGCGCAAUGGGCGAAAGCCUGACGCAGCAACGCCGCGUGGGUGAUGAAGGUCUUCGGAUCGUAAAACCCUGUCGUCAGGGACGAAGGUCGGGGGGUGAACAGCCCUUUGGCUUGACGGUACCUGGAGAGGAAGCCCCGGCUAACUCUGUGCCAGCAGCCGCGGUAAUACAGAGGGGGCAAGCGUUAUUCGGAAUUAUUGGGCGUAAAGGGCGCGUAGGCGGUGUCUUAAGUGGGAUGUGCAAUCCCCGGGCUUAACCUGGGAACUGCAUCCCAGACUGGGACGCUGGAGUACUGGAGAGGGUGGUGGAAUUCCACGUGUAGCGGUGAAAUGCGUAGAGAUGUGGAGGAACACCAGUGGCGAAGGCGGCCACCUGGACAGUAACUGACGCUGAGGCGCGAAAGUGUGGGUAGCAAACA
RNAcentral lists this ribosomal RNA (426 nucleotides) under uncultured bacterium. RNAcentral describes it as "bacterial SSU rRNA". It matches the Rfam family "Bacterial small subunit ribosomal RNA", at positions 356 to 774 of the family's 1533-position model. The record is from RNAcentral.